UCUCUGGUGGCCUAGUGGUUAGAGCGUUUGCAUCAUAUGCAGUAGGUCGUGGGUUCGAACGCCGGCUGAGUCACACCAAAGAC
Potamilus streckersoni is the source of this 83-nucleotide non-coding RNA. NCBI's taxonomy places the organism in Eukaryota, Metazoa, Mollusca, Bivalvia, Unionida, Unionidae. The record is from the annotation of a GenBank genome assembly.